AGCGUACACGGUGGAUGCCUAGGCAGUCAGAGGCGAUGAAGGGCGUGCUAAUCUGCGAAAAGCGUCGGUAAGGUGAUAUGAACCGUUAUAACCGGCGAUACCCGAAUGGGGAAACCCAGUGUGUUUCGACACACUAUCAUGUCAUGAAUACAUAGUGGCAUGAGGCGAACCGGGGGAACUGAAACAUCUAAGUACCCCGAGGAAAAGAAAUCAACCGAGAUUCCCCCAGUAGCGGCGAGCGAACGGGGAGGAGCCCAGAACCUGAAUCGGCUUGUGUGUUAGUGGAAGCGUCUGGAAAGUCGCGCAGCAAAGGGUGAUAGCCCCGUACACUAAAAUGCACAGGUCGUGAGUUCGAUGAGUAGGGCGGGACACGUGACAUCCUGUCUGAAUAUGGGGGGACCAUCCUCCAAGGCUAAAUACUCCUGACUGACCGAUAGUGAACCAGUACCGUGAGGGAAAGGCGAAAAGAACCCCGGCGAGGGGAGUGAAAUAGAACCUGAAACCGUGUACGUACAAGCAGUGGGAGCACCUUCGUGGUGUGACUGCGUACCUUUUGUAUAAUGGGUCAGCGACUUAUAUUUUGUAGCAAGGUUAACCGUAUAGGGGAGCCGUAGGGAAACCGAGUCUUAACUGGGCGAAUAGUUGCAAGGUAUAGACCCGAAACCCGGUGAUCUAGCCAUGGGCAGGUUGAAGGUUGGGUAACACUAACUGGAGGACCGAACCGACUAAUGUUGAAAAAUUAGCGGAUGACUUGUGGCUGGGGGUGAAAGGCCAAUCAAACCGGGAGAUAGCUGGUUCUCCCCGAAAGCUAUUUAGGUAGCGCCUCGUGAACUCAUCUUCGGGGGUAGAGCACUGUUUCGGCUAGGGGGCCAUCCCGGCUUACCAAACCGAUGCAAACUCCGAAUACCGAAGAAUGUUAUCACGGGAGACACACGGCGGGUGCUAACGUCCGUCGUGAAGAGGGAAACAACCCAGACCGCCAGCUAAGGUCCCAAAGUCAUGGUUAAGUGGGAAACGAUGUGGGAAGGCACAGACAGCCAGGAUGUUGGCUUAGAAGCAGCCAUCAUUUAAAGAAAGCGUAAUAGCUCACUGGUCGAGUCGGCCUGCGCGGAAGAUGUAACGGGGCUAAACCAUGCACCGAAGCUGCGGCAGCGACGCUUAGGCGUUGUUGGGUAGGGGAGCGUUCUGUAAGCCGUUGAAGGUGGCCUGUGAGGGUUGCUGGAGGUAUCAGAAGUGCGAAUGCUGACAUAAGUAACGAUAAAGCGGGUGAAAAGCCCGCUCGCCGGAAGACCAAGGGUUCCUGUCCAACGUUAAUCGGGGCAGGGUGAGUCGACCCCUAAGGCGAGGCUGAAAAGCGUAGUCGAUGGGAAACAGGUUAAUAUUCCUGUACUUGGUGUUACUGCGAAGGGGGGACGGAGAAGGCUAGGCUAGCCGGGCGACGGUUGUCCCGGUUUAAGCGUGUAGGGGGUGUGACCUGGUAAAUCCGGUUACAUACUAACCCUGAGGCGUGAUGACGAUGCACUACGGUGCAGAAGUAGUUGAUGCCCUGCUUCCAGGAAAAGCCUCUAAGCUCCAGGUAACAUUAAAUCGUACCCCAAACCGACACAGGUGGUCAGGUAGAGAAUACCAAGGCGCUUGAGAGAACUCGGGUGAAGGAACUAGGCAAAAUGGUGCCGUAACUUCGGGAGAAGGCACGCUGGCAUGUAGGUGAAGUCCCUUGCGGAUGGAGCUGAAGCCAGUCGAAGAUACCAGCUGGCUGCAACUGUUUAAUAAAAACACAGCACUGUGCAAACACGAAAGUGGACGUAUACGGUGUGACGCCUGCCCGGUGCUGGAAGGUUAAUUGAUGGGGUCAGCCGCAAGGCGAAGCUCUUGAUCGAAGCCCCAGUAAACGGCGGCCGUAACUAUAACGGUCCUAAGGUAGCGAAAUUCCUUGUCGGGUAAGUUCCGACCUGCACGAAUGGCGUAAUGAUGGCCAGGCUGUCUCCACCCGAGACUCAGUGAAAUUGAACUCGCUGUGAAGAUGCAGUGUACCCGCGGCAAGACGGAAAGACCCCGUGAACCUUUACUAUAGCUUGACACUGAACAUUGAGCCUUGAUGUGUAGGAUAGGUGGGAGGCUUUGAAGCGUGGACGCCAGUCUGCGUGGAGCCAUCCUUGAAAUACCACCCUUUAAUGUUUGAUGUUCUAACUCGGCCCCAUAAUCUGGGGUGAGGACAGUGUCUGGUGGGUAGUUUGACUGGGGCGGUCUCCUCCCAAAGAGUAACGGAGGAGCACGAAGGUUAGCUAAUCACGGUCGGACAUCGUGAGGUUAGUGCAAAGGCAUAAGCUAGCUUGACUGCGAGAGUGACGGCUCGAGCAGGUACGAAAGUAGGUCUUAGUGAUCCGGUGGUUCUGAAUGGAAGGGCCAUCGCUCAACGGAUAAAAGGUACUCCGGGGAUAACAGGCUGAUACCGCCCAAGAGUUCAUAUCGACGGCGGUGUUUGGCACCUCGAUGUCGGCUCAUCACAUCCUGGGGCUGAAGUAGGUCCCAAGGGUAUGGCUGUUCGCCAUUUAAAGUGGUACGCGAGCUGGGUUUAGAACGUCGUGAGACAGUUCGGUCCCUAUCUGCCGUGGGCGUUGGAAGAUUGAGAGGGGUUGCUCCUAGUACGAGAGGACCGGAGUGAACGCACCACUGGUGUUCGGGUUGUCAUGCCAAUGGCAUUGCCCGGUAGCUAAGUGCGGAAAAGAUAAGCGCUGAAAGCAUCUAAGCGCGAAACUUGCCUCAAGAUGAGUCUUCCCUGGGCCUUUAAGGCCCCUGAAGGAACGUUUAAGACUAAGACGUUGA
Molecule: ribosomal RNA, 2826 nt
Filed under: Serratia marcescens
Lineage: Bacteria; Pseudomonadati; Pseudomonadota; Gammaproteobacteria; Enterobacterales; Yersiniaceae
Description: bacterial LSU rRNA
Rfam family: Bacterial large subunit ribosomal RNA
Source: RNAcentral